GAUGAACGCUGGCGGCGUGCUUAAUACAUGCAAGUCGAGCGAACGGACGAGAAGUUUGUUUCUUUGAUGUUAGCGGCGGACGGGUGUGUAACACGUGGAUAACCUACCUAUAAGACUGGGAUAACUUCGGGAAACCGGAGCUAAUACCGGAUGAUAUUUUGAACCGCAUGGUUCAAAAGUGAAUGACGGUCUUGCUGUAACUUAUAGAUGGAUCUGCGCUGCAUUAGCUAGUUGGUAAGGUAACGGCGUACCAAGGCAACGAUGCAUAGACGACGUGAGAGAGUGAUCGGCCGCACGGGAACUGAGACACGGACCAGAGGCCUACGAGAGGGAGCAGUAGGGAAUCUUCCGCAGUGGGCGGAAACCUGACGGAGCAACGCCACGUGAGUGGUAAAAAUCUUCGGAUCGUAAAACUCUGUUAUUAGUGAAAAACAUAUGUGUAAUUAACUGAACACAUCUUGACGGUACCUAAUCAGAAAGCCACGGCUAACUACGUG
This 497-nucleotide ribosomal RNA is filed under the name uncultured bacterium. RNAcentral's name for it is "partial 16S ribosomal RNA". It matches the Rfam family "Bacterial small subunit ribosomal RNA", at positions 28 to 507 of the family's 1533-position model. The record is from RNAcentral.